UACGUAGGUGGCGAGCGUUGUCCGGAUUUACUGGGCGUAAAGGGAGCGUAGGCGGACUUUUAAGUGAGAUGUGAAAUACCCGGGCUCAACUUGGGUGCUGCAUUUCAAACUGGAAGUCUAGAGUGCAGGAGAGGAGAAUGGAAUUCCCAGUGUAGCGGUGAAAUGCGUAGAGAUUAGGAAGAACACCAGUGGCGAAGGCGGCUUUCUGGCCCAAUACUGACACUCAUGUGCGACAGCGUGGGGAGCAAACAGGAUUAGAUAU
This 262-nucleotide ribosomal RNA is filed under the name uncultured prokaryote. Its description in RNAcentral is "partial 16S ribosomal RNA". It matches the Rfam family "Bacterial small subunit ribosomal RNA", at positions 524 to 785 of the family's 1533-position model. The record is from RNAcentral.